RNAcentral lists this long non-coding RNA (635 nucleotides) under Mytilus galloprovincialis (Mediterranean mussel). Lineage: Eukaryota; Metazoa; Mollusca; Bivalvia; Mytilida; Mytilidae. The record is from RNAcentral.
AAUGGCAAAAUCAAAGGAUAAAACACAUCAAACGAAUAGACAACAACUGUCAUAUUCCUAACUUGGUGGAUUGAACCUGGUUUUAUAGCGGUUAACCUCUCACUUGUAUGACAGUUGCAUCAAAUUCCAUUAUAUUUACAACGAUGUGUAAUUUAAUUUUCAAUCAAAUUAAAAAACUGCUGGUAUAAAUCAUGAAUGUUACAAUUUUCUCCUGUAAACCAUUUCAAUAUAUAUCUAUUUGUAAUUGUAUUUGUAUAUUCCCUCAAACCAUGAAAGUACUCUACAUUCAUUAUUUCCAUGCCAAAACUAGUCAAUUAUCUUCAAUGAGCAUAACGAUUAAUACAUCACAUGCUUUUCUAUUUGUAGAAUAUUUUUGGAGGUAAUUUUACGUGAUGACAAUAUCGGUUUUCUAUGAUUAUUUAAAAGGAACAUUAUAAUUUUAUGUUUCAACACUUUAUAGAGUUGACCCUCACUUUUUAAUCCAUUGUCAGCCAGCUACAUGUAUAACCUUCUCCUAAGCCUAGUUUUCUGAAACUACUCGGUUAUGCUGACCAACCCAAGUGGAUUGUAUAACUGUAUUGUAGCCUUUUCAAAUACACACAAACAAUCAUAAUAGAUCUACCAUUUAAAUUAAC